UUUCGCAAUGGGCGAAAGCCUGACGGAGCAAUACCGCGUGAGGGAGGAAGGCUCUUGGGUUGUAAACCUCUUUUCUCAGGGAAGAAAAAAAUGACGGUACCUGAGGAAUAAGCAUCGGCUAACUCCGUGCCAGCAGCCGCGGUAAUACGGAGGAUGCAAGCGUUAUCCGGAAUGAUUGGGCGUAAAGGGUCCGCAGGUGGCUAUGUAAGUCUGCUGUUAAAGAAUGAGGCUUAACCUCAUCAGAGCGGUGGAAACUACACAGCUAGAGUGCGUUCGGGGUAGAGGGAAUUCCUGGUGUAGCGGUGAAAUGCGUAGAUAUCAGGAAGAACACCAGUGGCGAAAGCGCUCUACUAGGCCGCAACUGACACUGAGGGACGAAAGCUAGGGGAGCGAAAGGGAUUAGAUA
RNAcentral lists this ribosomal RNA (406 nucleotides) under uncultured cyanobacterium. Its description in RNAcentral is "bacterial SSU rRNA". It matches the Rfam family "Bacterial small subunit ribosomal RNA", at positions 364 to 784 of the family's 1533-position model. The record is from RNAcentral. Lineage: Bacteria; Bacillati; Cyanobacteriota.